UGGGGAAUAUUGCACAAUGGGCGAAAGCCUGAUGCAGCAACGCCGCGUGAGUGAUGAAGGCCUUCGGGUUGUAAAGCUCUGUCUUUUGGGACGAUAAUGACGGUACCAAAGGAGGAAGCCACGGCUAACUACGUGCCAGCAGCCGCGGUAAUACGUAGGUGGCAAGCGUUGUCCGGAUUUACUGGGCGUAAAGGAUGCGUAGGCGGAUUUUUAAGUGAGAUGUGAAAAACCCUAAGCUUAACUUGGGGACUGCAUUUCAUACUGGAAAUCUAGAGUGCGGGAGAGGAGAAUGGAAUUCCUAGUGUAGCGGUGAAAUGCGUAGAGAUUAGGAAGAACACCAGUGGCGAAGGCGAUUCUCUGGACCGUAACUGACGCUGAGGCAUGAAAAGCGUGGGUAGCAAACAGGAUUAGAUACCCUGGUAGUCCACGCCGUAAACGAUGAGUACUAGGUGUAGGAGGUAUCGACCCCUUCUGUGCCGCAGUUAACACAAUAAAGUACUCCGCCUGGGAAGUACGAUCGCAAGAUUAAAAACUCAAAAGG
This 541-nucleotide ribosomal RNA is filed under the name uncultured bacterium. RNAcentral's name for it is "partial 16S ribosomal RNA". It matches the Rfam family "Bacterial small subunit ribosomal RNA", at positions 355 to 908 of the family's 1533-position model. The record is from RNAcentral.